AUGCAACUUGCCAAGAGAAGGCACACUUCCGGUGAGAUUAUUUAGGGGCAGAUAAAGAAAUCCUAGAUUUGAGGCGUUAGAAAAUGAAGUUGGAAUGGUGCCAGUGAAUUCGUUAUCACCAAUAGAAAAAAUUCGGAGAUUUGGAAGAGAGUUUCCAAUGCUCAAGGGAAGAUUCCCUUGGAAUUGAUUAGAUGACACGUCUAAUUCCGUGAUCGAAGAAAGAUUGAAGACAGAGGGAGGGAUGGUACCUGAAAAUCCAUUUUCAAAAAUUGUUAAAGAUUGUAGACUGAUCAAUU
Molecule: unclassified non-coding RNA, 296 nt
Filed under: Hevea brasiliensis (rubber tree)
Lineage: Eukaryota; Viridiplantae; Streptophyta; Magnoliopsida; Malpighiales; Euphorbiaceae
Source: RNAcentral